GACGAACGCUGGCGGCGUGCUUAACACAUGCAAGUCGAACGGAAAGGCCCUGCUUUUGUGGGGUGCUCGAGUGGCGAACGGGUGAGUAACACGUGAGUAACCUGCCCUUGACUUUGGGAUAACUUCAGGAAACUGGGGCUAAUACCGGAUAGGAGCUCCUGCUGCAUGGUGGGGGUUGGAAAGUUUCGGCGGUUGGGGAUGGACUCGCGGCUUAUCAGCUUGUUGGUGGGGUAGUGGCUUACCAAGGCUUUGACGGGUAGCCGGCCUGAGAGGGUGACCGGCCACAUUGGGACUGGGAUACGGCCCAGACUCAUACGGGAGGCAGCAGUGGGGAAUAUUGCACAAUGGGCGGAAGCCUGAUGCAGCAACGCCGCGUGCGGGAGGACGGCCUUCGGGUUGUAAACCGCUUUCGCCUGUGACGAAGCGUGAGUGACGGUAAUGGGUAAAGAAGCACCGGCUAACUACGU
This 467-nucleotide ribosomal RNA is filed under the name uncultured bacterium. RNAcentral describes it as "partial 16S ribosomal RNA". It matches the Rfam family "Bacterial small subunit ribosomal RNA", at positions 28 to 506 of the family's 1533-position model. The record is from RNAcentral.